This 480-nucleotide ribosomal RNA is filed under the name uncultured bacterium. RNAcentral's name for it is "partial 16S ribosomal RNA". It matches the Rfam family "Bacterial small subunit ribosomal RNA", at positions 28 to 523 of the family's 1533-position model. The record is from RNAcentral.
GACGAACGCUGGCGGCGUGCUUAACACAUGCAAGUCGAACGAUGAAGUUCCUUCGGGAAUGGAUUAGUGGCGAACGGGUGAGGAACACGUGAGAAACCUGCCUUUCAUUUUGGGAUAACUCCGGGAAACCGGGGCUAAAACCGAAUACUCCGUCACGGCGGCAUCGCUGAGCCGGGAACAAAGUUUGAUGAAAGAUGGUCUCGGGGCCUAUCAUCUAGUUGGGGAGGAAAUGGCUCACCAAGGCAACGAAGGGUAGCCGGCCUGAGAGGGCGACCGGCCACACUGGGACUGAGACACGGCCCAGACUCCUACGGGAGGCAGCAGUGGGGAAUAUUGGGCAAUGGGCGCAAGCCUGACCCAGCGACGCCGCGUGAGGGAUGAAGGCCUUCGGGUUGUAAACCUCUUUCAGUAGGGAAGAAGCGAAAGUGACGGUACCUAAAGAAGAAGCACCGGCUAACUAUGUGCCAGCAGCCGCCGUAA